AGUGAACGCUGGCGGUAGGCCUAACACAUGCAAGUCGAACGGCAGCACAGUAAGAGCUUGUUCUUACGGGUGGCGAGUGGCGGACGGGUGAGGAAUACAUCGGAAUCUACUUUUUCGUGGGGGAUAACGUAGGGAAACUUACGCUAAUACUGCAUACGACCUACGGGUGAAAGCAGGGGAUCUUCGGACCUUGCGCGAGUGUAUGAGCCGAUGUCGGAUUAGCUAGUUGGCGGGGUAAAGGCCCACCAAGGCGACGAUCCGUAGCUGGUCUGAGAGGAUGAUCAGCCACACUGGAACUGAGACACGGUCCAGACUCCUGCGGGAGGCAGCAGUGGGGAAUAUUGGACAAUGGGCGCAAGCCUGAUCCAGCCAUACCGCGUGGGUGAAGAAGGCCUUCGGGUUGUAAAGCCCUUUUGUUGGGAAAGAAAAGCAGCAGGUUAAUACCCCGCUGUUCUGACGGUACCCAAAGAAUAAGCACCGGCUAACUUCGUG
This 492-nucleotide ribosomal RNA is filed under the name uncultured bacterium. Its description in RNAcentral is "partial 16S ribosomal RNA". It matches the Rfam family "Bacterial small subunit ribosomal RNA", at positions 29 to 507 of the family's 1533-position model. The record is from RNAcentral.